AGCCUGAUGCAGCCAUGCCGCGUGUGUGAAGAAGGCCUUCGGGUUGUAAAGCACUUUCAGUCAGGAGGAAAGGUUAGUAGUUAAUACCUGCUAGCUGUGACGUUACUGACAGAAGAAGCACCGGCUAACUCCGUGCCAGCAGCCGCGGUAAUACGGAGGGUGCGAGCGUUAAUCGGAAUUACUGGGCGUAAAGCGUACGCAGGCGGUUUGUUAAGCGAGAUGUGAAAGCCCCGGGCUUAACCUGGGAACUGCAUUUCGAACUGGCAAACUAGAGUGUGAUAGAGGGUGGUAGAAUUUCAGGUGUAGCGGUGAAAUGCGUAGAGAUCUGAAGGAAUACCGAUGGCGAAGGCAGCCACCUGGGUCAACACUGACGCUCAUGUACGAAAGCGUGGGGAGCAAACAGGAUUAGAUACCCUGGUAGUCCACGCCGUAAACGAUGUCUACUAGGAGCUGGGGUCUUCGGACAACUUUUCCAAAGCUAACGCAUUAAGUAGACCGCCUGGG
Molecule: ribosomal RNA, 504 nt
Filed under: Pseudoalteromonas sp. 1Bb5S38
Lineage: Bacteria; Pseudomonadati; Pseudomonadota; Gammaproteobacteria; Alteromonadales; Pseudoalteromonadaceae
Also listed under: 7 other names
Description: bacterial SSU rRNA
Rfam family: Bacterial small subunit ribosomal RNA
Source: RNAcentral